UUCAGCUUAAUAUGUAAUGCCAAGGCCAGGCUGUGAAAAUAUUAGUCCUUUUGGUGAACGACGCCGUUUAGGUGAGGGAUUUUUUUUUUUCUUUUCAUGGUUUCGCUCCCUCCCCACGACAGUUUCUACUCCAUUUUCCCUUCCCCAACGUUUCACCCCUUCUCACGCCAUUUCAGAUUUGCAUUCCCCAAUAUUUCCUCAACCGUUUUCCCCUUCUGUUACCCACAUCUUCUUUUCUCUCAAAUGCUCUCCCUCAUUUUUAUCCCUUUUCCCUGUUAUCAUAUCAACCUGGUUGCUCCUCAAGUUUCCAUAGCCAACCACCCAACCCGUGUACAUACAUGUUGGCACCGAGAGUAAGGAACCAACCACGCAGCCUCUCAUCAUGACCAAAACUCCCCAAGCCACCUGCCUCCAGUUCACGAAAACACCUCCCAACACAAAACGCAGCAACCACGGGAAAACAACCACUGCCCAAGCACCAACGCAAGCCACCGUUGCCAUCCCCACCUUUUAGCAGUACUGUGUUCCUUCCUCCCAUGAGAUUCUUCACCGUCGGCCACUAAGCACCAUCACAAGUCACCACAAGAGAACCCAUACUAGCCUCUCUUUCCAUACACGACUCUACCCUUACCACCGUGCCCAGCCAACCUCACCAGCUUAAAUGUAAUCACCGCACAGCCUUUCCCUCGUCCAAGCGGUCCCCUGUUUUAGUCACUAAAAACAGAGCUGCAAGCACGCCCUCGUGACCCACACAGUUGCGACCAUCCUCCUCCACUCGACCACCUCGCAUGCCGCCGGGAAGCUUUCGUCACCCCGGUCCGCCACUCCUCUCUCUCGCCUCCCAGGAUCUCCAGCGUUUUCACCUUUGCCGCCCAAAUCCGUUGCAACUCCUUCCCCCACGAUGAUAUUGAUGACCCAGUUGGGAGUAAGGAAUAGAAAUUAGAGCUUGGCUAGCUAUGGAUAGAAGGUUGGGUACCUAAGGAUACCAAUAUAUUUAGAAGGGUUUGAUUUGGAGUAUUUGGAGUUCUUUAUGUCUUUUGGAUCUAUUGAGACUUAUUUAAAUUUUCAGUCUCUUAUGUUAAGGUUACUAGAAAAUUGUGGAGACAAUGAUUUAUGUUAAUUGAUUUUUUCAUUUUGAUGACUUUAUGGAUGAUUUUAUUUAUUAAGUUGAUAAGGAUGACUUUAUGUCUGUUUUGAAA
Molecule: long non-coding RNA, 1199 nt
Organism: Carya illinoinensis
Lineage: Eukaryota; Viridiplantae; Streptophyta; Magnoliopsida; Fagales; Juglandaceae
Exons: 3
Source: RefSeq, a predicted model, not a curated record